CUCCCCACCCAUCCACAGCCACCGCCACCAGAAUCAAUCCCUCUGCGACACCAUACAAACGAUCUGCUGUAGUCGAUGCAUCACAGUACAGUGCACCACCAACAAUGACCGGCCGCGUGGCUCAGGACUGAGAGAGAUGGAGCGAGAAUAAGACGGAGAAUUAUUGCAGUGACAGACGCAGGAGACCCUGAACUGGGAUGAAGGAUCCCACGUCUUCGGACAUCGGGAGGAGGCCACGGAGGUGAUGGUGACAAACUGUCAGGUUGUUGGAAGUACCACAGCGAGCCCAUACCCCAGUGCCUGGAGUCCUCCCCUCCCCCUUGGGAAGGCUUGGCGAGUAAACAGUGUCUUUGCUGAUUACAAUGCCUUACUCUCACUGCAGCCCAAGACUGGCCCAUGGCGGAUCUGAGUUAUUGUUCCUGAGAGAGCUGAAGAGCCUGUGGUCCGGCCCGUGCUGGGAAUACACUGACCCACUUGGACUUUCCAGUGCCCUCACUUCCUCUUCCCCUGUCAUCCAGUGAGACUUUGGACGAGGAGAGGAGAUGGGAACGGUUCUGUACAAAGUUAGCUUUUAUUAAGAUGCAAGAUUGUGCAGAUCUCCAGCGACCGAGGCUGAUGACGAAAGAGACAGAUGAAGAAUCAGAUAAUUAUGUCUGUCAUCUGUUUACAAGAGAUCGAAUCCCCUUAUAUCGUUCGCUUAUCAAUCACUCGUCCCCACGGACGUGCCAAUGAAGGGGUGAGUGUACAUUUGUGAGGUUGCAAAGUCGAGUGGACACAACAGCAUCGACACCUGUUCAACGGAAUUUAAUUCAAACCCCCUCAUAGGGACGCUGUUGAGGUUUUUUAAGUUUAUUUAUAUUUCAGGUCAGGAUUUUCAGUUAAUGUUCACCUUAAAACAUUAGAGUGGGAUCUCCUGCGCAGUUUGUGGAUAACUCAGAUGACUUUACUCUUUACAAAUGCACAAAAGCCUCACAGAACGUACAACAACAUCGAACCUCGAGGUGAACGAUGUACAACAGCGGACGACUACUGCGGCUUCCACUUCUGCAGAUAUCUGAGGCUGCAGACUGAGACUCAGUCACCAAAAACCGGACAGACAGAUGAAGCCUGGAAAAACACAUAGCCCAGUCUGAUGAUUCUUGAUUUCUGCUGAGGCAAGUAGAUGGUAGAUGGUCACAAAUUAGCUACAGCAGCAUCAAUCCAUGGACCCAACCUGCGUUGUGUCGACAGUCCGGGCUCUUUGCUCACUCCGGGCCCCUUUAAUACCGAUCCAUCAAGGUUUGAAUGCCACAGCGUGUGUGAGUGUCACUGCCCACCAUGUACGGGGCCACGAUUUACCUUCUUCGAGUGGCAACAGCAGAGAAAUGCACCAAUGUCACAAAUCAAAAGUCGCCCUCAAACUGGUUAUGCGAACACGGCCAUGUGGGGCAGAACGGGAAGUGCACAACACGAAUGUGCAGCUAGUAAAUCUGCAGAAUUUAUGUGGCGCAAUCAUGUGAACACGGACGCAAAUCUCAAAGGAGAGUUUACAAACAAAAAUCGAGGUGUUUUGAGAGCGAAGUUGUCCCCCACCCAGGAUAAGUAUGGUGUUUUUUAACAAAGUGCAUCUUACAAAUAUAAUAAAUACGUGUAAACAAAAUUACCCAAAUGGAGGUUGCCAAAAAAUGUUUUUGAUAAAUAGUUUGGAGCCAGAGAAUGCAGUGCUUAUAAGCACUGUUUUCAACAGUGUUCCCAUCAUUUUGUCUCCCCCCUGUGUCUUUUCCUACUAUACGCAGUCUGUGCCUCUUGGAAUAUAAUCGUAGGUGCCACAAUUUACCAGUAGAGGGCGCAACAGAGAGCAGUCACUGAAACGGUCUCUCGAAGGAGGAGGAGGAGGCCCUGCCAACUUGCCUGGCCUUGACCAUGCACUUGGGAAGCCAUCAUUUAUUUUUGGAGCCCUAGGCUGCAUGGCAGCUGUGAGACUGGCGGAGGGUGAGGGAGGUGGGAGGGUAAGGAGAGAGGAGAGAUGCAAGGAGAAGGAGGGGAAGCGGGGCGACUUAACACCAGCGCCAGUGACACAAAAAGCAUUGUCCUGAUUUAAUGGCUGUGAAGUCUUGCCUCCCCCUGGUCCAAGAAGCUGCUGAUACUUAAUUAGGACGAACACUCUUUCAAACACACACACAAACACACAUCAAAUGCCAUGCGCACACACGCACACACACACACACACACACACACACACACACACACGCACACCUCAGCCCCGAGCGGCAAAGAUGAUUCAAUCCAACUCCGCCAUCGCAGGAGAUGAGUUAUGAAGACAGAGGGGUUUCUUGUUGUAGCCGCGGCACAACACAUCCAGUCUUUUUCCAAUAUGGAGGCUGUAAAAUUGUCACCGGGCUUUAAUGUGAAGAGUUAAACCUGUGAUGAGUCAUCAAGUGUAAAAUCAAACAGGCCCAUGGCCUGUGAUUAAUGACUGCACGGGGAGUUGUAACCUAGUCUCGGUAAUGACACGAGGGAAGAAAGAAAAAGCCAAAGAGCAGCGAGGGAGAAUUCAUCCUCAAAUAUGCUUUUUAUGUGGUCUGGUAUAAUACUGUCAGAGGAGAUGGUGACCAAUAUGACUAAAUAAAUUGUUAUGAUUUAUGCAUUUUGUAUAUAUAUAAUUAUUUUACCCAGUAACUGGUGAGAAACUCUGAUGGCACAGUAGGAUUUCAGUUAUUUUAAAAAAAGGAAACUCCAUCAAUCUUUUAACCGCAGGGGCGAUUGUCUUUAAUCACACAUAUGUGCAGUAGUUUGUUUAUUUAUGAUUCAUACAAGGACAACGUAUCUAUUAACUCACGGCCUAAUCUAUUGAUUACAAAGUUUGAUAUCAGAUUUUCUUUUUUCGAAACAAAUUUGAUCUCGUUUUUACUGUUUGAUUGAACGACCUUGUUCAUGAUGUGGAACAUUGAUUGACUGGUAUUGACAGUGUGAGCCUCUCAGCAGCACAACGAGGAGCCGAAAGACGCCAUUAAUAUGUAUACGCACUGUAUAUAAGUAGACUUGUGGUAAAAUCGCUGCUCAUAUCCUUUGAGUGCAGGACCCAAAUGAGCACAUGUCCUAUUUGAACAGGUUUCUGUUUUUUUUAAAAGUGAGCCUGCUCAUUCUUAAUGUUAAACAUAGCCACAAACUCAGAGUGAAAUGCCGGAUGAAUAUUUUACCGUCUCUUUACACAGAGAAAUAAGGAUACAAGACAAACUCAUGUCGAAAGACCCACACAAAUAUAUGCAAAAGUGUUUCUUCAAUUGAUUUACAUCCAAAUGUAUUAAAAU
Molecule: long non-coding RNA, 3290 nt
Organism: Scophthalmus maximus (turbot)
Lineage: Eukaryota; Metazoa; Chordata; Actinopteri; Pleuronectiformes; Scophthalmidae
Exons: 4
Source: RefSeq, a predicted model, not a curated record